RNAcentral lists this ribosomal RNA (378 nucleotides) under Citrobacter freundii. Its description in RNAcentral is "bacterial SSU rRNA". It matches the Rfam family "Bacterial small subunit ribosomal RNA", at positions 92 to 473 of the family's 1533-position model. Lineage: Bacteria; Pseudomonadati; Pseudomonadota; Gammaproteobacteria; Enterobacterales; Enterobacteriaceae. The record is from RNAcentral.
CGAGUGGCGGACGGGUGAGUAAUGUCUGGGAAACUGCCCGAUGGAGGGGGAUAACUACUGGAAACGGUAGCUAAUACCGCAUAACGUCGCAAGACCAAAGAGGGGGACCUUCGGGCCUCUUGCCAUCGGAUGUGCCCAGAUGGGAUUAGCUAGUAGGUGGGGUAACGGCUCACCUAGGCGACGAUCCCUAGCUGGUCUGAGAGGAUGACCAGCCACACUGGAACUGAGACACGGUCCAGACUCCUACGGGAGGCAGCAGUGGGGAAUAUUGCACAAUGGGCGCAAGCCUGAUGCAGCCAUGCCGCGUGUAUGAAGAAGGCCUUCGGGUUGUAAAGUACUUUCAGCGAGGAGGAAGGUGUUGUGGUUAAUAACCGCAGC